GAGUUUGAUCGUGGCUCAGAUUGAACGCUGGCGGCAGGCCUAACACAUGCAAGUCGAGCGGUAGAGAGAAGCUUGCUUCUCUUGAGAGCGGCGGACGGGUGAGUAAUGCCUAGGAAUCUGCCUGGUAGUGGGGGAUAACGCUCGGAAACGGACGCUAAUACCGCAUACGUCCUACGGGAGAAAGCAGGGGACCUUCGGGCCUUGCGCUAUCAGAUGAGCCUAGGUCGGAUUAGCUAGUUGGUGAGGUAAUGGCUCACCAAGGCGACGAUCCGUAACUGGUCUGAGAGGAUGAUCAGUCACACUGGAACUGAGACACGGUCCAGACUCCUACGGGAGGCAGCAGUGGGGAAUAUUGGACAAUGGGCGAAAGCCUGAUCCAGCCAUGCCGCGUGUGUGAAGAAGGUCUUCGGAUUGUAAAGCACUUUAAGUUGGGAGGAAGGGCAGUAAAUUAAUACUUGCUGUUUUGACGUUACCGACAGAAUAAGCACCGGCUAACUCUGUGCCAGCACG
This 510-nucleotide ribosomal RNA is filed under the name uncultured bacterium. RNAcentral describes it as "bacterial SSU rRNA". It matches the Rfam family "Bacterial small subunit ribosomal RNA", at positions 9 to 515 of the family's 1533-position model. The record is from RNAcentral.